This 472-nucleotide ribosomal RNA is filed under the name uncultured bacterium. Its description in RNAcentral is "bacterial SSU rRNA". It matches the Rfam family "Bacterial small subunit ribosomal RNA", at positions 355 to 825 of the family's 1533-position model. The record is from RNAcentral.
UGGGGAAUAUUGGACAAUGGGGGGAACCCUGAUCCAGCAAUGCCGCGUGUGUGAAGAAGGCCUGAGGGUUGUAAAGCACUUUCAGUGGGGAGGAGGGUUGACGGGUUAAGAGCUGGUUGACUGGACGUUACCCACAGAAGAAGCACCGGCUAACUCCGUGCCAGCAGCCGCGGUAAUACGGGGGGUGCAAGCGUUAAUCGGAAUUACUGGGCGUAAAGGGUGCGUAGGUGGUUUGAUAAGUUAUCUGUGAAAGCCCUGGGCUCAACCUGGGAAGGCCAGAUAAGACUGUUGGACUCGAGUACGGGAGAGGGUAGUGGAAUUUCCGGUGUAGCGGUGAAAUGCGUAGAGAUCGGAAGGAACACCAGUGGCGAAGGCGGCUACCUGGCCUGAUACUGACACUGAGGCACGAAAGCGUGGGGAGCAAACAGGAUUAGAUACCCACGUAGUCCCUGAGCGGGCUGGCAAGGCGCAU